This 1159-nucleotide long non-coding RNA is filed under the name Olea europaea (common olive). RNAcentral's name for it is "long non-coding RNA (OEUR_LNC012492)". The record is from RNAcentral. Lineage: Eukaryota; Viridiplantae; Streptophyta; Magnoliopsida; Lamiales; Oleaceae.
GAAUACGCAUUCCAUUGGCAAGCAAGGAUUAUGGGACCUUCAACAGUCCUUGUUCUGGAGGUGUAUUUUUUGGUUUCCAUUCAUUUUCCUCUCGAUUACCCUUUUAUAUGCUUGUAUCCUCUACAUUAGUUGUAUAGUAACUUCCCAUCUUUGAGUCAUUUGCUCACUUGUAUUUUGAUCGACUCUAAUAGUGAAAAGCAGAUAACUGUGCAUAGGAAGAUUUCUUUCUCUUACUAGGUGUCGAAACCCUUCUUACCUUAUCAGUUUCUAAGCUAAACGAUAUAAAAAUAUUAUAAUAUGGAAUGAUUUACCCUAUCCCCAAGUGCAAUUUUGCAGAAUAAGUUUACGAGUUCAUUCUCUUCUUGUCUGGUUCUUUUUCUUGCUGCGUUUCGCAAAAUGAUUUCCUGAAAUUUCAACUUCUUUUCCCAUGGAAGUUCUUUGAAUAGGUAGAUGUUGAGCACAUGAACUAUAUAUUUGUGUCCAUUGUUGAAACUCUAUGAAUAUCAUUGGUAAUUACUCAGAACAAUAAUGCAAAAAUUUUUAUUUAGUAUCUUGUUGAAAAGAGUUUGUUUUCCCCUAUCCUUGGAGAGCUUGUGGUUCUUCAAAAUAGUUAUUGUUUCCAUGGAGAUUAUGUUGAUGAACUCUGUGACCCAAAUAGCCGAUUUAUUCUUUGUUUCUGGUUGCUUUUACAACAAAAAGUUUUCCACCCAACAUCAAUAGCAAUGGAAGCAUUUGCCUUGAUAUUCUUAAAGGUACAAUCAUGCUACAUGUGCAUCAUUCUGUACACCUUGGUUUGUAUUCUUCCUCAUGGAACCAUCUUCCUUUGAUUUUCCCAGCAAUCUUUCACAUCAUUGUCCAUAUUGUGCUACAUAGUGGGAAUGUCAUCCAUGGUGCAAGGGAAAAUGUACAUCUAGCAUUAUUGAUCUAAGGUAAUUAAUUUUUUUUUGUUAUAAUAAUGAGAUGACAUCAUUUAAUGAAUUGUGGCUAUACACGUUCAAACUUGGACUAAAUUAAUUUUAAUGUAUGGGUUUCCACACUUGAUAUAUCAUACAUUAUUGUCUGUGUUCGCGUUCCCAUUUAUGACUGGUUCCACAGUCUUAUGCAUUGGCUUCAUCAUUUAGCUAUGUAACAGAUUACAAUGUAUGCUCGGGAUUCAUUU